Long non-coding RNA from Gallus gallus (chicken), 1474 nucleotides. Lineage: Eukaryota; Metazoa; Chordata; Aves; Galliformes; Phasianidae. The record is from Ensembl.
AUCUUGCUGGAGAUCUCUGCCUGCCUGAGGCCUUUGGAAGAAAGACGGAAGAAAGUCUCUUUUGUGCAGCCUGAAUUGCCUUGCACAGCACACACCGAAACCCCAGGCUGAGGUGCAGCAAGGGCAGCCCCAGCAAUUUGCGAGCACGCAGAGACAGACCGAGCUAUGCUUCCUUUUCAUUACCCAGAGGAAGAGGCAGAAGGAACAGCAGGGAUGCAGAGGGGAACCUCCUUGGAGAACAGGAGGAGUGAUUGCUGCAGGGGUUUUGCAGCAGGAGGACCUGGAAGGCAAUGGCUGCAUCACCCCACAAAGCUCUCGCAGUGCUGGUGGGAAAACUGAGGCACAGGGCAGCGUGGCUGGGAGCCUUCAGCAGCACAACAGCUCCAGGGGACCCUUAGGGGAAACAAACCUGGGCUGCACAGCCCCAAAAGCCUCAGGUUUAAGAGGAAACACAUUUCUCUCAAUGGUUUUCACUUAAAAAAAAAAAGGAAAACAAAAGUCAAAGUGAGGACAAAUGUUUCCAAAGGUCACAAGAAAACACAGAACCUCAAAAUAGAAAAGCAGUGGCUGAGGGCUAUCAGAGCAAUCUGUUCGAUGGGCCUCCAACAAAGCACUUCUGAAUUCAGCAGUUGCGGAGGGGUUUUCAGAAGGAUUGGUUAACAUCCCCCAAAGGAGACAAUGUUUUUAUUCCAAAAUUGCCAGCAAACCAAAAAAUUUCAUUUUCCUCCAUCUCUAUUUGUAAGUGAAUAUUCACUGGGAUAUUUGAUAGCUGUAAUUUACUCUUCGAGCUGUGUAAUUAGCCACCUCAAUCAAAUGGCAUCAUUUCUAUCUUUGCUCAAUGAAGAACCGCUCCACUGCAAACCAGACCUGAGCGCAGCACAGGGCUGGGACCACUGCCCACAGCCAACACUGCCUUCCUCUCGAGGCUCAGCCUUGUUUGGGGAUGGAAAGCCUCUGGAAUUAAAAGGUGGGGCAGAACAGUGAGGCAUGGGUCACACGGAGGGGUAGGAGGUAGGAACUUGGCGGGGGAGGUGGGUUUUGGUGGAUUUUCUCUUACUUGAGGCAAUUUGGGACAUGGGAGAAGACAGGGAUGGAGGUGCAGGGGUAUACCCAGAGGUUCUCCUUUUUGGCAUCUGUGAGCAUCGCAGAACCAUCACUGUGCAGUUAUUCAGUUUUAUGGACCUUCAAUCAAACAAAGAGAGGUUUUCCCAGGGCGGAGAGGAGCCGCUGAUUCAUUCAGCUUUUGUGCCAUUUAUUUCUGGGCACAACCCCUGCAGCAGGGGAGGCAAAGCGCAUGGCCAAGGCUGCAGGGACCCCACUCCCUUCUUUUGCUGGAGCUCUUACACUGAAUGCUGCCUUCAGAGCCCCAGCCCUCGUCUCCUUGCUGGCACACUUGAAAGAGAGAACUUUUCUUUCCCGUUCUCCUAUAGCAAUAACAAUCCCUUGUUAACACAAUAAAAUUAAUCCUUGUGCU